CAACACAGUCAUACCACCUUGAAAAUGUCCAAUUCUGACUUAUGUUCAAGCUAAGCAGGGUUGGGCCAAGUUUGUACUUCGAUGGGAGACUGCUAAGAAUACAGGGUAGUGGGGCGU
RNAcentral lists this ribosomal RNA (117 nucleotides) under Periophthalmus magnuspinnatus. The record is from RNAcentral. Lineage: Eukaryota; Metazoa; Chordata; Actinopteri; Gobiiformes; Gobiidae.